Molecule: non-coding RNA, 254 nt
Organism: Camelina sativa (false flax)
Lineage: Eukaryota; Viridiplantae; Streptophyta; Magnoliopsida; Brassicales; Brassicaceae
Source: RefSeq, a predicted model, not a curated record
AUUUAAUUGGUAGAGAGAUUGAAUCAAUUGGAAUCAGAAAGGCUCCAUCUGUGGUCUUCAUUGAUGAAUUAGAUGCUGUUGGAAGGGAGCGUGGGUUAAUAAAGGGUUCUGGAGGACAAGAAAGGGAUGCCACUCUUAAUCAGCUCCUUGUUUCUUUAGAUGGUUUUGAAGGAAGAGGAGAGGUCAUUACCAUCGCUUCCACAAACAGACCAGACAUUCUAGAUCCUGCGCUUGUGAGGCCUGGAAGGUUUGAC